AUCUGCCAUUUUUUUUUUUUUUUUGUACAUUUGUUGUGUAUAUGACUGGUUUUGUUUUUAAGUCUCAACAUUAAUAUGUCUUUGAAAAUGUUGUUAGAUCAGUAGAUGUUUUGAAGUGAAAAUAAUGAAGUAAUUUUUUUGUGCGAAUGUUAUUUUGAGAGUGUAAAUGGUUACGUUGUUGUUCAACAUUUAUUUGGGCUAGUAUGUUGUUAUUGUUUUGUAAAUAAUGUAGAGUUAUAGUAUGAAGAACUUUGUUUCCUCCAAACAUUUUUCAUUCCUCUCUGAACCACGAAUAAAAAUUGAAAUUUUCCUGCCUGAUGUAUUUAUCAUAUGUAGACUAAUUAUGUGCCUAAAUUCUUCAUGAGAACAUGAGCUCCUUUAUAAUGAUUGGUACAUCAAUUUUGACAGUGUCCACUAAUCUUUCUUUUUAUAUAUCUUUAUCUGAAACAUAGAAAUUUCUUAGAAUAAUUAUUUUUAAUUUAGCUACCAGUGCAUAAAUGUUCUUAAAUACAAAUCUAGUGGAAAAUUUAGACUAAUGGAUUACAUGUUUCAAGAUUUAUCCUCAAUUCCACAAGACUAUAAUUUUUAGUUUUGAUAUUUUGGCUAUUCUGCACAUCGACGCAAUUUAGGCCAUGUCAUGCCCAUUUAGUUUUUAAUACUGCUAUAUAUUAUAGUUCCUAACCACAGUUUUUGCUUUAAGAUAAUAGUGGCCAUACCAUCAUUAUAUUGCUUUAUAUGCUACCCUGUCUUUGUAAUUUAUCAGUAUUUGACUUAGUGAUUGAUAUGAUGAGAGUUAACUUAAGUAAAAAGUAAAAGUACCCUUUCAGACCUUGCAGUAAUGAGAAGGUCCAAUAAAUUCUGUCUAUUCUUAAUGGUAAAACAAAUGGUUUUUAUAUGACUAGGGUUGUGAGAGUAAGAAAUCUUAAACAGUUGUAAUACUUUUUAGCUUCAUUUGUCAUGAGUUAUAUGUGACAUGUUAGUAAUGAUAUAUUUUUUACAUCUAAUUUAUUUAAAAAUUGUUAUCUGAAUAUGUUCAAUAUCACUAGCAAUAUUGUAAAUUAGAGUUCUUUUUUUUUCAAAGAAACAUACAAAGAGUGAAUCUUAUUUUCAAUAUAAAAUAAAGUCUGAGUUUAUAUAGAAGUCUAUAUAACAUCUUACUCCUAGAGAAAACUAUCAAGAUAAUGAAUUUAUUCUAGGAAUUUGAAGUUCGGUUGGGGGGGGGGGGG
Molecule: non-coding RNA, 1226 nt
Organism: Biomphalaria pfeifferi
Lineage: Eukaryota; Metazoa; Mollusca; Gastropoda; Planorbidae
Source: the annotation of a GenBank genome assembly